This 485-nucleotide ribosomal RNA is filed under the name uncultured bacterium. Its description in RNAcentral is "bacterial SSU rRNA". It matches the Rfam family "Bacterial small subunit ribosomal RNA", at positions 30 to 507 of the family's 1533-position model. The record is from RNAcentral.
AUUGAACGCUGGCGGCAGGCCUAACACAUGCAAGUCGAGCGGAUGAGUGGAGCUUGCUCCAUGAUUCAGCGGCGGACGGGUGAGUAAUGCCUAGGAAUCUGCCUGGUAGUGGGGGACAACGUUUCGAAAGGAACGCUAAUACCGCAUACGUCCUACGGGAGAAAGCAGGGGACCUUCGGGCCUUGCGCUAUCAGAUGAGCCUAGGUCGGAUUAGCUAGUAGGUGAGGUAAUGGCUCACCUAGGCGACGAUCCGUAACUGGUCUGAGAGGAUGAUCAGUCACACUGGAACUGAGACACGGUCCAGACUCCUACGGGAGGCAGCAGUGGGGAAUAUUGGACAAUGGGCGAAAGCCUGAUCCAGCCAUGCCGCGUGUGUGAAGAAGGUCUUCGGAUUGUAAAGCACUUUAAGUUGGGUAGGAAGGGCAGUAAGUUAAUACCUUGCUGUUUGUACGUUACCAACGGAAUAAGCACCGGCUAACUUCGUG